GCUGGGCGUGGUGGCAUGCGCCUGUAAUCCCAGCUACCUGGGAGGCUGAGGCAGGAGAAUCGCUUGAACCCAGGAAGCAGAGAUUGCAGUGAGCUCAGAUUGUGCCACUGCACUCCAGCCUGGGUGACAGAGUGAGACUCCGUCUCAA
Molecule: unclassified non-coding RNA, 148 nt
Organism: Pongo abelii (Sumatran orangutan)
Lineage: Eukaryota; Metazoa; Chordata; Mammalia; Primates; Hominidae
Rfam family: Metazoan signal recognition particle RNA
About the family: The signal recognition particle (SRP) is a universally conserved ribonucleoprotein. It is involved in the co-translational targeting of proteins to membranes.
Source: Ensembl